RNAcentral lists this ribosomal RNA (385 nucleotides) under Micrathyria aequalis. RNAcentral's name for it is "eukaryotic LSU rRNA". It matches the Rfam family "Eukaryotic large subunit ribosomal RNA", at positions 1389 to 1706 of the family's 3401-position model. The record is from RNAcentral. Lineage: Eukaryota; Metazoa; Arthropoda; Insecta; Odonata; Libellulidae.
UCGCGGCGGUGCGCGCAGAAGGGUCUGGGCUCGAGCCUGCCUGGAGCCGCCGCCGGUGCAGAUCUUGGUGGUAGUAGCAAAUACUCCAGCGAGGCCCUGGAGGACUGAUGUGGAGAAGGGUUUCGUGUGAACAGCCGUUGCACACGAGUCAGUCGAUCCUAAGCCCUAGGAGAAAUCCGAUGCAAACGGCGAUGGGAAACGCACUGAACUCGAUUUACAUGAGACAGAGACCCAUUGAACGGGCGAAAGGGAAUCCGGUUCCUAUUCCGGAACCCGGCAGCGGAACCGUUGUUUGUCGGGCCCUCGCAAGGGGUUCGUCAGGGCAACCUAAAAGGGCCCGGAGACGCCGUCGGGGGCCCCGGAAAGAGUUUUCUUUUCUGCAUGA